UAAGAAAAUUAGCUACCUCGUGCUUAACUCCAGAGAUACCCAUCUUUUGACAUAACUUUACACAUGUUAACGUGACACUCCAGUUUAAAUUUCGUGGCAAUCGGAGUAGUAGAACUCCGGUUAUAGCGAUUUUCGUCGGAAAAUCACAAAAAUUGAAAUGGUCAUAACUUGGUCAUUUUAACUCGGAAUUAGCUCAUUUUUGGACACGAGCUACAUAAUACCAUAUAUUUUCAUUUUCCAAAAGCCCGGAAUUUUUCUCACAAGAAAAGUUGACAAAACAACCCUUGCAAAAUAUUAGCAGCUUACUUUUUGUACUUUGGCAGUUUUGGAGUCCUUUACCAAAACUUAAAUAAAAUGAAAUCUAAAACUCCGAUUAAUGAUCCGUAAAUUUUUUUGGAUUCCUAUCUUUCCGAACUACAGUUUUCAUCUAUCAUAAUCCAUAUUUGGACAUGUUAAGCUCCCAGAAAUUAGCCCGGAAGUGGCUGUUACAAACUGUUAUUUUAACAGUUUUUCUUACAUUUGAGUAGUUUGGGAGAAAUUUCAUAACUCUCUCCUCCGAUGUCGGAUUUAGUCCGUUUCGGAGUCUAUAGAAAGCUUAUUGAGUGUACUAUAACAUACCAAAAGCCCAAAAGUUUUAGAACAAGAUAGCUAACACAGAAAAUUUCUUUUUAGGUCAGCGGUUUACUAGUUUUAACACUUUAGAAAAAUUCGUUUUCUUUCCCUUCCUUACUUAAGCUUUUCACUACCAAAAAUGGUUAGAUCUACUCAUAAAACACUCUAAAUCAUGUAGAUCUAGGGUUUUGAAGAUCAAGAACAUAAAUUCAUAUUUUGAUUUAAAACAACAAGAAUAACUAGCUAAAUAUAGUUUAAUACCUUUUCUCACUUCGAUUUCUUGAUUUCUGACUUUGAUCUUCUGUUUUUGAUGCUUGUGAUCAUGGGGAUAUGCUUAGGAGUGUAUGGGAAAGUGUUUUUUUAGGAGCUAAGAGGUUGAGAGAGUCUAGGAUGAGAGUUAAGAAAAUUCAAGUGUGCAUUUUCAUUAACUCUCUUUAAUCUCUAUUUAUAGGCCAAGUAAAAUGCCUUGGAUGCUAAAUUGGUUGGUAUAAUUGAGGUGUAAUGGUAUAGUAGCAUGAGGGAAUUCUAGAAGCCAUUGAUUAGCUAGCAUUAUUGAAGAUUCCAUCAACAAUGCUACUAAUAAUACACUAAUAAACCAAAAAGGGUAAUUUGGUCAUUUCACAUAUAAUUCCGAGGGCAUUUUUGUAAAAGGCAAUUAAAUGUAAUAUUUAACCAUUAGAUUAUAAUUCUUACCAUUUACCAAUUAAUUUCUAUCAUUUGGUAAUUUAAAACAUUUAUACAAUAACAUCGUAAUUAAACCCGGUAAUUUUAAAUUAAGGGUUUUCUAUAGAAAAUUAGGGUUUUCUAAUUAGGGUUUCUUAACGCCAUCAACUAGGGUUUCUAAUUGACCAUUAGGGUUCUCUAAUUAUCUGUGUAUGUUCUAACACAGUUAUUACGAUCUCUAACUUCAAUCGAUUAGGGUUGUAAUAAUUAGGGUUUGUCCUAAUUAUCAACGUAAAAAUAGUAAUUAGGGUUUUUCUUCUAAUUACCGACAUUCGUG
Molecule: long non-coding RNA, 1612 nt
Filed under: Panax ginseng (ginseng)
Lineage: Eukaryota; Viridiplantae; Streptophyta; Magnoliopsida; Apiales; Araliaceae
Description: long non-coding RNA (PGIN_LNC014468)
Source: RNAcentral